This is a long non-coding RNA of Esox lucius (northern pike), 1444 nucleotides long. The record is from Ensembl. Lineage: Eukaryota; Metazoa; Chordata; Actinopteri; Esociformes; Esocidae.
GCGGCACAAUUCAUAUUAAAACAGUCCUUCAUUAAUCGUACAAAACACACAGAGAAGCUGAACAUUACAUUGUUACAUACAUGUGAUAUAAAUUCAAGCAAGUGUAAAAAAAAAGAAGAAAAGGCUGGAGUUACAGAUAGUUCCUUGGUUUAGUGUACUUUUUGUCUUGCUGUUUGGCAAGGCGUUGCUGGUUAUUCAUCAUUUGUUGAUUUGCCUCGGGAAGGUGAAAACUGUCUCCUGCAGGGUGAAUCAAGGCAGUUGUAUAAAUGUUGAGAGAAAAAAAACAGAAUUUACAUGAACACUACAACACAGUGCAAGAACAUUAACUCUUUUUUGUAUCCACUUUGUGCUUAUAGACUGAUCAGAUGGCUCACCUAAAUGCGGUGACGGUCAUAUAGUCGUGGGGUCGCCAAUGACCGAGUAGCAGCCGGAGCAGACGCGCGAGGGAUUCCUUUGAGACUGAUCUGUUCCCCUUCUUCUGCGCACCAGCCUUGUGCUGACAUACUGCGUCUCCUCACUCUGGACAGUGAAACAACGGUUAAUGUGGAGAUGACUUCCGGGAUCUUACAGUGGUUCUCCAGAACUUUUACAUAAUUUUGACAGUUGUUUGCUCACGAGCGAAUGAAGCUCCCGCUUUUUGUGUACUACAUUAUUCAACUGUGCAUGCGUAGUAGGUGUGCAUGCAUUAUCGUAUCCCAUCGUAUCGUGAUAUUGUUCAUUUUGGAAUAAAUAAAUAUAUACGGUAUAUUAAUAAUGUUUUUUGUGCUUACGCUCCCGGAUUGCAUUUGUAAGCACUUACAAAUUUGAAAAAUAUUUUACGAUUUGGAAAAGUAUUAAGAGAAUAAGAGACAAUAAAAAAAUAUAUAUAUAUAUUAUAUAUAUUUUCCUUUUACACAAAGUGUCACAUGAAUUACCUCAAUAUUACCCAAGAAAAAAACAAUAAUAUUGACAACUCAGCUUUAGAAUAUGGUAGACCUUAAAGAUAUAUUGUCCUGGUAUAUACACAGCUUCUUUCUAUUUAUUUUUUACUUAGGCCUAUUUAUUUUACACAUAAAAUUAAGUAAGUUCCUAAAACACGCCAUGAAAUGAUACUUUUACAAUAAUUUAAACAUACGUUUCUUAUGAUCCAAUGGUUACUAACAAAUAAAGGGUACUCUUCGAAAACGAUGACAAAAAGAAACAGUUACACUCCUGGCAAAAUGAGCAAAACAGUGUAUAAGUAAUCAUAUACAAUUGCAAAGCUUACCAGAAAAGACUGGAAGUUUAUUUCACCAUUUGUUUCUAUGGGGGCAGAUUGUGUCGUAAUUAUUGCAAUGGUGAAAAUGACCAACGCCAAUACCCUCUGCAUCUUCAUCUCUUCAGUCUGUGUCUGCAACGGAGGCAGUGCGGAGCCUUUAAGACAGCUUCUAAAUAGGCACGUCUGUUACUGAUGGGUGGGUCUCUC